AGCCGAACAAGACCGAUGUUGCUGUCAGAACUAUUCCUGUGUUUUCCAAGUUCAGUAGAGGACUAAGAUAUCUUUAGGUACCAUGAGGGACAGGUUACACUUGGUGGGAGAAGAAAUGAAGCCAGGCGGAACUACCAAUUCCGUUCCUUAAAGUGAACUGUCAUAUACAGACAGAACUAUCUCCAUUUUGAACAGUGCUAGAAGAAAGAAAGAAAUGUGAUAUGCAACAAAAGAAAAAUGGUGUGGAUUAAUGACAGCUACAAGGUUAUGGUGUCACAAAUGAUACUGGAAGAAAAACAAGAAGCCAGCAUGAAAAGUUCAGCUGCAACAAAAUAUGAGGCCACUAAACUGUUGAGUAAGAUUGGUGGUCAUUCAGCAAACAUAAAAUACUGCAAUGCAGAUGCUAAGGUAGAGAGAGGGGCCGUGGUCAGAUUCAGUCCCAGCCCCCCAAAAUUUUGGGCAUGGCCCCAGGCUACCAAAAGAUGUCAUCCAAUUGUCUGCAUUGUGGGGUUGAAGAGCAACAGAGAAGAAAAAAGACAACCGCAAAGUCUAUCCAACUAAAAAGAAGGAAACAAAAUGAACAUUAAAGUAGCGGGCUACAGAAGAGGGGUUGUGGAAAGAAAUCAAACUGAAACAAAGUUGUUUAAAUAAGUGUUCCCUAUAACCAUUUAUUUGUAAAAAAAUUUAAAAAUCUCAUUUAAUGCAUUUAAUCUUAACAAAUUUAGUCUCAUACUAUUUUUAAGGCAAUUUUAAUAUAUACUCUUUCUGAAUUGAAGAUUGUGACUUUUAAUUAUCAAAUCAACAGCGUAGACCUGAGGUAGGUCCUCCUACACAUAUUUUACCCAGAACAAGGCACAUUUCAGCACUAUUAACAUGCAGAAAAUUCAGUUGCCAGACCUUGUGCUCCCACAAGCAAAAUUCUUAUGUAUCUGAUUUUUGCCCCACCUUUAUUACUUUAUAAGUAUCUCAAAAUGGUGGACAUACAUAAUAUUCCUUCUUCCUCCAAUUUUCUCCACACAUAACCAUGGGAGGUAGGUUGGGCUGAGAGAGUCACUGGCCCAACAUCAGCCAGUCAGCUUUCACGUUUUUUUUCCUGUCAGUUCAACCUUCCAAUAUUCUAAAACUGCAUGAAUUUCUGACCCAUCAUUAAGUCCUUACCAAGAUUUAGUUUUAGUGAGUUAAGCUGCCUGGCAGAGAAGAAACUGAAAAAUCCCUGUAGAGUCCCAAUUGACUGAUUGAUUUUUUAUUUUUUUUACAGUUUAUGUGAUGCUCCAAUCUGAAGAUACUGAGAGGCUUGUAAAAUAGAUUACACGUU
Pseudonaja textilis is the source of this 1315-nucleotide non-coding RNA. Lineage: Eukaryota; Metazoa; Chordata; Lepidosauria; Squamata; Elapidae. The record is from RefSeq and is a predicted model, not a curated record.